RNAcentral lists this ribosomal RNA (497 nucleotides) under uncultured bacterium. RNAcentral's name for it is "partial 16S ribosomal RNA". It matches the Rfam family "Bacterial small subunit ribosomal RNA", at positions 28 to 507 of the family's 1533-position model. The record is from RNAcentral.
GAUGAACGCUGGCGGCGUGCCUAAUACAUGCAAGUCGAGCGAACAGACGAGGAGCUUGCUCCUCUGACGUUAGCGGCGGACGGGUGAGUAACACGUGGAUAACCUACCUAUAAGACUGGGAUAACUUCGGGAAACCGGAGCUAAUACCGGAUAAUAUAUUGAACCGCAUGGUUCAAUAGUGAAAGACGGUUUUGCUGUCACUUAUAGAUGGAUCCGCGCCGCAUUAGCUAUUUGGUAAGGUAACGGCUUACCAAGGCAACGUUGCGUAGCCGACCGGAGAGGGUGAUCGGCCACACUGGAACUGGGACACGGUCAAGACUCCUACGGAAGGCAGCAGUAGGGAAUCUUCCGCAAUGGGCGAAAGCCUGACGGAGCAACGCCGCGUGAGUGAUGAAGGUCUUCGGAUCGUAAAACUCUGUUAUUAGGGAAGAACAAAUGUGUAAGUAACUAUGCACGUCUUGACGGUACCUAAUCAGAAAGCCACGGCUAACUACGUG